UUCGGAUUUUCAGAGAAGGUGGGGCAUGCCCGUCGUCAGUUCGUACUGUAAAGCGUUUCUGUUAAGUCAGAUAACGAACGAGACCNUCAUCUCUAUUUGCUACCCGUCUCUCCGGAGGCGGCGCACUAUAGGGAGACCGCUGGUGUUAAACCAGAGGAAGGCGAGGGCAACGACAGGUCAGUAUGCCCCGAAUGUCCUGGGCUACACGCGCGCUACAAAGGACGGGACAAUGGGAAGCCAGGCCGAGAGGCCGAGCUAACCCGAAACCCGUUCAUAGUUCGGAUCGAGGGCUGUAACUCGCCCUCGUGAAGCUGGAUUCCGUAGUAAUCGUGUUUCAAUAUAGCACGGUGAAUAUGCCCCUGCUCCUUGCACACACCGCCCGUCAAACCAUCUUAGUUGGGGGUGGGUGAGGCUGCGCUUUAUGGCGUAUUCGAGCCUGCCUUCGACAAGGAGGGUUAAGUCGUAACAAGGUAACC
RNAcentral lists this ribosomal RNA (476 nucleotides) under uncultured archaeon. RNAcentral describes it as "bacterial SSU rRNA". It matches the Rfam family "Archaeal small subunit ribosomal RNA", at positions 970 to 1448 of the family's 1478-position model. The record is from RNAcentral.